GGCUCCGGUGGCCUAGUGAUUAGAGCGUCCGCCUCAGAUGCGAGAGGUCACGGGUUCGAUCCCCAGUCGAGUCA
Non-coding RNA from Potamilus streckersoni, 74 nucleotides. NCBI's taxonomy places the organism in Eukaryota, Metazoa, Mollusca, Bivalvia, Unionida, Unionidae. The record is from the annotation of a GenBank genome assembly.